UUUUAAUUUAAACCAACAAAAAUAGCUUCUUAGCAAAGAACAAUUUCUCAAGCAAGAAUUUUGCUAGGACUGAGAGUGGUCAGGGGGUGGGGAAACUGAAAAGUAGAUGUUAUUGGCAGAGAGGUUUGGAACUCAUCGUAAAAUAGCUAGGUGGGACAACCACAUAUCACAGUCAUAGUAAGUACAUUUUUCCUCAAAGUUGCUAUCAUCCCUUGUAUGAUCUAAAUUGAUAUUGUUUUAUGAUGAUACCAUCUAUCUUUUCAUAUUUGUGCAAAUCUUUCUAAAACAUUAAAUGGACACAAUUCAAUCGGUAUCAAGAGGUUAGAAUAUGUACUGUAUGCUAUGAGAAUAUGUUGAAGGCUAGCUGUAUUGGGUGCAGAUGACUGAACUGCUCACUUUUGUGUCUGUGUCUGCAAGUAUCUGACCAAAUUUGAACAAAAUCCAAGGUAAGAAUACUGUCAUGUGCAUGUUUUGUUAAUCUGUAUAAUUACUAUUUUAGCGACUCUCAGACUUCACCCCGUACACCAUGAAUAUAACAGGAAACCUGUUUGAUCACCAUGUACUGCAAAAUCAUUCUGGCUAUGGAUACGGAGAACAUCAACACAUUAACACAUCAGAGGAUAUUCCCAUUGGACUCGGGGCUCUGCUGGGAGUUUGUCAGAAGGAUCCAGUUGACCUUGACUGGAAGCUCAGGGGCUGAAAUUUGUGAAGAAGCACCAGAAGCUGCUCAACAUCCAGAUCCCAGAAAUGUCUAUAGUCAUGAUCCUCUGCAGCAUCCCGGGGGUUGUCAUCAGCUGCAUGCAGAUGUUUCUUCUUCUUUUUUUUCAUCUUCUUCUUCUACUUUUCUGUCUAUUUGCAUGGAUGUUGUAUUGUUUCCUAUGCAGACUUUCAACAGGUUCUGUGGUGGCACAGGACUAAAUCUUGAGCCGUUGUCAGAGGAAGAAAUUGGGAAGACCUCUGCAGACAUUAAUUCCACAGGAAAAAGGGAGGAUAACAAGUGGUUUCUACAGAAAACCCCAGAAAAACUCACAAUUCUUCCUGGGAAGCUGUUUGUCUUUUAAUACUAUAUGCCUGGGCAGUCGGAUGAGUCCUCAACCAUGUGGAUGACUGAUGAUGUCCUGCUAACUACUAAAUACAAAAGCUAUUGAAUGUUGCACGAGCAUCCAAAACUCUGAUCCACAAGUUGUUUGAAGGCGCACCUUGCGGUGUGCCUUUACCGGCGUGAAAUCGUAUGAUCUUCAAGUACAUUGUGGAUCUCAACGUUCCCUGGGAUGAGUUGGUUCCUAGCAUUGAGAGUCUCAUACACAAAGGUCUGCUCUCACCUUUAACCCAUGGAGUGCAGCAAGCAUCCAUACACUUUUCAAAUCGUACCAUUCAAGAGUAUUAAGUUCAUGUUCAGGUUUAUUUACCGUAUGUAAUACAUAGGGUACACUGGAAAUCAUACUCAUCAGAGCUCUCACAUUAAAAACAACAGCAUUAAAAGUUUAGUGAUUUUUUUUCUUCUCCAGUAGACUUAAAUAGCUAGCCGGCUACCACCCGGUUACUCAACCCUGCACCUUAGAGGCUGCUGCCCUAUGUACAUAGACAUGGAAUCACUGGUCACUUUAAUAAUUGAACACUAGUCACUUUAAUAAUGCUUACAUACUGCUAUACUCAUUUCAUGUGUAUAUACACUGUAUUCUAAUCUACUGUAUUUUAGUCAAUGUCACUCCGACAUUGCUCGUCCUAAUAUUUAUAUUUCAUUCCAUUAUUUUACUUUUAGAUAUGUGUAAUGUUGUGAAUUGUUAGAUACUACUGCACUGUUGGAGCUAGAAACACAAGCAUUUCGCUACACCCGCAAUAACAUCUGCUAAAUAUCUGUAUGUGAGCAAUAAAAUUUGAUGUGAUUUGAGUUUCAACAAGCACUUUGUCACUCCCACUGCCAGCCAUGCUGCCCCUGUCCCCUUUUGAGUUCUCCCUCAGAGCACCCCCCGCUUCUCCUUCCAGCCAGGACAGGAGAAUGAAGUGCUGUAAUCUGGACCCUUACAAAUCACCUGCGCUCCAUGAUCUGGACCCCUUCUUUCUGAAGCUGUCUUCCAUCAUCAUCUCAGCUCCUAUCCCUUGCCUCUUCAACCUCUCCUUACAAACAUCUGAAGUCCCACAGGAUUGGAAAGCUGCUACCAUCAUACCAAUCUUCAAAGGGGGCGACAAACUAGACCCCAACUAUCUCCAUCUUGCCUUUUUAAAGUUUUUGAAUGUCUGGUCAACCAACAGUUUACCAGCCAAUUGGAGUCCCACAGUAUUCUUUCUGCGAUGCAGUCUGGCAUCAGAACUGGCCAUAGUAGGUGAAGGCCAGAGUACCUCUGCAACACUGAAGAUUCUAAUGACAUCAUAUUUGCUUUUGACAACAAGCGGUAUUGGGCAGCCGUUUUUAUUGAUCUCUAAAGCCUUUCAUUCUGUUAACCACUGCAUUCUGCUCAAGAGACUAAUCAACCUAGGGUUCUCAGAGGAUUGUCUAGCCUGGUUUGAAAACUAUUUCUCUGGCUGUGUACAACGUGUCUAAUCCGAGGGCCUGCUGUCCCAACCACUGGCUGUAUCUAUGGGAGUUCCACAAGGAUUGAUUCUUGGGCUGGACCUAUUCUUUGUGUAUAUUAACAAUGUUGCACAUUCUACUAGUGACUCACUCAUCCACCUUUAUGCGGACACUAUCCUGUACACAACUGGCCCCUCCCUGAACACUGUGUUGACCACCCUACAACAUAGCUUUAACAACAUGCAGCUUGCCAUCUCUGACCUUCACCUAUUCCUCAAUAUCAAAAAACUAAAUGUAUACUCUUCAACCGGAACCUAUCUCAACCUGCCUGCCCUCCUGACAUUCUCACCCUGAACGGGUCAGAGCUAGAGUAUGUCGACACACCUUGGUAUAUGGCUGGAAUGAUCACUCUCACUGCAUACCCACAUCACUCACCUUCAGUCUAAAGUUAAAUCCAGAAUUGUUUUCCUCUACCGCAACAAAACAUCCUUCACCCAAUCUGCCAAGCGCACCUUUGUCAAAAUGAGCAUCUGCCAAUUCUGGACUAUGGCGAAGUAGUUUACAGGCUUGCCCUCCAAACCUCUCUUAAUAAACCACACGUAAUUUACCACACUGCCAUCCGCUUUGUUACCUGUGGCCCCUUCAACACUCAUCUCUGUGUCCUUUAAAUCCUGGGUCAACUGUCUCUCGUCACCCUGACGCCAGAACCACUGGUACCAAUUUAUUUACAAGUAGGCAAGUCCCCCCUCUACCUCAGCUCACUCCUCAGCAACCUGCACUCUGGUAGAUAUCACACUGGUCAUUCCAAAGCCUGCACUUCCUUUGGCCGUCAUUCAUUCCAGUUUUCUGUUGCCAACUACUGGAACGAGCUGCAAAAGACCCUUGACAUAUUCAUUCCACCACACUCCUUCAAAUACAUAUUAACUGAGCUACUAUCUGAUCACUGUACCUGCUGAUCAUUAAAUCUGCUGUGUUGACUUAGACUUUUUCUGGUCUAACCUACUGUCAAUAUUUCUUAUUGUUGUAUAUUGGAUGAAUUUGUACCUUUCCUCUGUAUAGUGUGUUUUAUUUAUUUUUUGUCGUAUUUUUAGUAGUUGUCCUGUUCACUGCUGCAAUGUUAUGCCUCUCGGCCAGGUCAUUAUUGUAAAUGAGAAUUGGUUCUCAAUUGACUUAUCUGGUUAAAUAAAGGUUAAAUGAAUUAAUUAACUCAACUUCUAGCUGCAAAUGUGUACAUGAAAUAAACUAAAACUACAACUUAAGGUUACUUUAAGAUAUGAAGAUUAAGUCCAGAAUCUGGAUCAUCUACCCCAAUUUCUGAAAUAGUUUAUAAGCGCCCAGGUCCUUC
Molecule: long non-coding RNA, 3857 nt
Filed under: Salmo salar (Atlantic salmon)
Lineage: Eukaryota; Metazoa; Chordata; Actinopteri; Salmoniformes; Salmonidae
Description: lncRNA (ENSSSAG00000099653.1, ENSSSAG00000112085.1)
Source: RNAcentral